AUAAAGAGGACUCAAUUCGCUGUCAUCUCUUUUCUCUGUUCCUUCUUGCAAUCACUGGUGGUACAAGCAAAGUGUCCAUUAUGUGAUCUGUAUAGAAUUAGAUUAACUGUAUGCAUUCAAGUACAUGUCUGCACAGCCAGAAGAUACUGGAUUAUUAAUCCCCAAGGAUUUAACAGAAAUUUGGAGUGCUUCUGACCCCUGGCAACCCAGUGCAAAGUGCACCCAGCAAUCAAUAUUGAGAAAGAGGUCUCAUCCAUAUUCCUUCAGGACCGAUGGUAUUUUAUGCUCAAGAAUGGAGCACAACACCUCCAGCAUUUGAAAGAAGGCUAAAAGAAAGGUGAGAUUUGUGAUUCGCAGCAUGUCUUCCUUUCAGUAAGACAAAUACAUCAGCAAAGCUUGUGAAUUUCUCUGUGUGUCUCUGUAGUUUUACACCAUCACCAGAAUGAGGAAUUCAUGAAUCAUUGCUA
Molecule: non-coding RNA, 467 nt
Organism: Pogona vitticeps (central bearded dragon)
Lineage: Eukaryota; Metazoa; Chordata; Lepidosauria; Squamata; Agamidae
Source: RefSeq, a predicted model, not a curated record